UUAAACUGUAUGUAUAAUGUCAAAGCAUAACAGACGUUUAUCUUAGGACACUUUACAGAUAGAGUGGGUCUUGACCACACUCUAUAGUUUAUAAAAAGUCCUAA
This is a long non-coding RNA of Etheostoma spectabile (orangethroat darter), 104 nucleotides long. RefSeq lists it as uncharacterized. Lineage: Eukaryota; Metazoa; Chordata; Actinopteri; Perciformes; Percidae. The transcript is spliced from 3 exons. The record is from RefSeq and is a predicted model, not a curated record.